RNAcentral lists this transfer RNA (79 nucleotides) under Bittarella massiliensis (ex Durand et al. 2017). It matches the Rfam family "tRNA". From Rfam's summary of the family: Transfer RNA (tRNA) molecules are approximately 80 nucleotides in length. Their secondary structure includes four short double-helical elements and three loops (D, anti-codon, and T loops). The record is from Rfam by way of RNAcentral. Lineage: Bacteria; Bacillati; Bacillota; Clostridia; Eubacteriales; Oscillospiraceae.
GCGGGAGUGGCGGAAUGGCAGACGCGCUGGUCUUAGGAGCCAGUUCCUCGGAGUGUGGGUUCAAGUCCCAUCUCCCGCA